CGGCGGACGGGUGAGUAACGCGUGGGUAACCUGCCUCAUACAGGGGGAUAACAGUUAGAAAUGACUGCUAAUACCGCAUAAGACCACAGCACCGCAUGGUGCGGGGGUAAAAACGUACCGGUGGUAUGAGAUGGACCCGCGUCUGAUUAGCUGGUUGGUAAGGUAACGGCUUACCAAGGCGACGAUCAGUAGCCGACCUGAGAGGGUGACCGGCCACAUUGGGACUGAGACACGGCCCAA
Molecule: ribosomal RNA, 240 nt
Filed under: uncultured bacterium
Lineage: Bacteria
Description: partial 16S ribosomal RNA
Rfam family: Bacterial small subunit ribosomal RNA
Source: RNAcentral